GUGCCAGCCGCCGCGGUAAUACAGAGGGUGCGAGCGUUGUCCGGAAUCACUGGGCGUAAAGGGCGCGUAGGCGGCUUUUCAAGCGUGUGGUGAAAGCUCGGGGCUCAACCCCGAGUCGGCCAUGCGAACUGGGAGGCUUGAGCACGGUAGAGGCACAUGGAAUUCCGGGUGUAGCGGUGGAAUGCGUAGAGAUCCGGAGGAACACCGGUGGCGAAGGCGGUGUGCUGGGCCGUAGCUGACGCUGAUGCGCGACAGCGUGGGGAGCAAACAGGAUUAGAAACCCGCGUAGUCC
RNAcentral lists this ribosomal RNA (292 nucleotides) under uncultured bacterium. RNAcentral describes it as "partial 16S ribosomal RNA". It matches the Rfam family "Bacterial small subunit ribosomal RNA", at positions 505 to 796 of the family's 1533-position model. The record is from RNAcentral.